RNAcentral lists this unclassified non-coding RNA (335 nucleotides) under soil metagenome. Its description in RNAcentral is "partial contains 5.8S ribosomal RNA, internal transcribed spacer 2, and large subunit ribosomal RNA". The stretch from base 1 to 119 matches the Rfam family "5.8S ribosomal RNA", at positions 35 to 154 of the family's 154-position model. The record is from RNAcentral.
GAUGAAGAACGUAGCGAAAUGCGAUACGUAAUGUGAAUUGCAAAUUCAGUGAAUCAUCGAAUCUUUGAACGCACAUUGCGCCCCUUGGUAUUCCAUGGGGCAUGCUUGUUCGAGCGUCAUUUGUACUCUCAAGCUUUGCUUGGUGUUGGGUGUUUGUCCUUUCCUCGCGUUUGGACUCGCCUCAAAGUUAUUGGUAGCCAAUGUAUUGGUUUGAAGCGCAGCACAAUUUGAGAUUUAAGCUGGUAAUCAUUAGCCUCCAUCAAACAAUUUAACACUUUUGACCUCGGAUCAAGUAGGGAUACCCGCUGAACUUAAGCAUAUCAAUAAGCGGAGGA